AUUCAUCCCUUGUGGAGUUUCCCUUGUGAGCCUAGAUCUUCAGAGACAGAUAGUGCUGACAGGUGCAUUCAGUGCAGUACACUCACCUCAACAAGAAAGGACACAGCCAGUGUGACUGCCAGCAUCAUCACCAUGGAGAUCCGCCAUGUGGUGGGGGUGCAAACCAGCUGGAAGGAAAGCAGAGGCAGUAAGCAGUGUGUGCACAUACUGACGUGGGUUGGAGCUGGUGUCAUCAAAAGCCAGAAUCCCACACUGGCUGUACACUGCUAACAAACCAAUACUGCUACUUAUCCUGAGGAAUUAUUGAUAAAGAAGCGUUUAUACUUAUGACCCAGCAGAGAAACCAGAACUGCGGCAAGAGGUCUAAAUGCUUCCUCUCUUCCUAAUAUCAGAAAUACUUCUGGGUAUUUCAAACUCCAGACUCGGUUCCAGUGUCCCAUAGCUUUCAGCGCUGGGUUUCUGGCUAUAGCUCAAUUUAUUUUGGAGAUACAGCUCUGAUCAACGCUCAGAUCAGCAGUUGCUCCGGAGCUAGGUUAUUGCAGCUUCUAAUUGCCACUCCUUCCU
Molecule: long non-coding RNA, 564 nt
Organism: Lagopus muta (rock ptarmigan)
Lineage: Eukaryota; Metazoa; Chordata; Aves; Galliformes; Phasianidae
Exons: 2
Source: RefSeq, a predicted model, not a curated record